CCUACGGGAGGCAGCAGUGAGGAAUAUUGGUCAAUGGGCGCGAGCCUGAACCAGCCAAGUCGCGUGAGGGAUGAAGGUACAGAGUAUCGUAAACCUCUUUUGUCAGGGAACAAAGGCGGGGACGUGUCCCCGGAUGAGUGUACCUGAAGAAAAAGCAUCGGCUAACUCCGUGCCAGCAGCCGCGGUAAUACGGAGGAUGCGAGCGUUAUCCGGAUUUAUUGGGUUUAAAGGGUGCGCAGGCGGUCUGUUAAGUCAGCGGUCAAAGCCCGGGGCUCAACCCCGGCCCGCCGUUGAAACUGGCAGUCUCGAGUUGGAGAGAAGUAUGCGGAAUGCGCGGUGUAGCGGUGAAAUGCAUAGAUAUCGCGCAGAACUCCGAUUGCGAAGGCAGCAUGCCGGCUCCACACUGACGCUGAGGCACGAAAGCGUGGGUAUCGAACAGGAUUAGAUACCCGAGUAGUC
RNAcentral lists this ribosomal RNA (459 nucleotides) under uncultured bacterium. RNAcentral describes it as "partial 16S ribosomal RNA". It matches the Rfam family "Bacterial small subunit ribosomal RNA", at positions 338 to 795 of the family's 1533-position model. The record is from RNAcentral.